RNAcentral lists this long non-coding RNA (259 nucleotides) under Mytilus galloprovincialis (Mediterranean mussel). Lineage: Eukaryota; Metazoa; Mollusca; Bivalvia; Mytilida; Mytilidae. The record is from RNAcentral.
GUUUGUCCGUCCGUUCGUUCGUCCGUUCGUUCGUUCGUCCGUCUGUCCCGCUUCAGGUUAAAGUUUUUGGUCGAGGUAGUUUUUGAUGAAGUUGAAGUCCAAUCGACUUCAGACUUGGUACACAUGUUCCCUAUGAUAUGAUCUUUCUAAUUUUAAUGCCAAAUUAGAGAUUUUACCCCAAUUUCACGGUCCACUGAACAUAGAAAAUGAUAGUGCGAGUGGGGCAUUCGUGUACUGAGGACACAUUCUUGUUUAGUAU